UGGGGAAUAUUGGACAAUGGGCGCAAGCCUGAUCCAGCCAUGCCGCGUGAGUGAUGAAGGCCCUAGGGUUGUAAAGCUCUUUCACCGGUGAAGAUAAUGACGGUAACCGGAGAAGAAGCCCCGGCUAACUUCGUGCCAGCAGCCGCGGUAAUACGAAGGGGGCUAGCGUUGUUCGGAUUUACUGGGCGUAAAGCGCACGUAGGCGGACUUUUAAGUCAGGGGUGAAAUCCCGGGGCUCAACCCCGGAACUGCCUUUGAUACUGGGAGUCUUGAGUAUGGUAUAGGUGAGGGGAAUUCCGAGUGUAGAGGUGAAAUUCGUAGAUAUUCGGAGGAACACCAGUGGCAAAGGCGGCUCGCAGGACCAUUACUGACGCUGAGGUGCGAAAGCGUGGGGAGCAAACAGG
Molecule: ribosomal RNA, 404 nt
Filed under: Actinomycetes bacterium
Lineage: Bacteria; Bacillati; Actinomycetota; Actinomycetes
Description: Actinobacteria bacterium partial 16S ribosomal RNA
Rfam family: Bacterial small subunit ribosomal RNA
Source: RNAcentral